CACCAGACUCCUACGGGAGGCAGCAGUGGGGAAUAUUGCACAAUGGGGGAAACCCUGAUGCAGCGACGCCGCGUGAAGGAUGAAGUAUUUCGGUAUGUAAACUUCUAUCAGCAGGGAAGAAAAUGACGGUACCUGACUAAGAAGCCCCGGCUAACUACGUGCCAGCAGCCGCGGUAAUACGUAGGGGGCAAGCGUUAUCCGGAUUUACUGGGUGUAAAGGGAGCGUAGACGGCAAUGCAAGCCAGAUGUGAAAGCCCGGGGCUCAACCCCGGGACUGCAUUUGGAACUGUGUAGCUGGAGUGUCGGAGAGGCAGGCGGAAUUCCUAGUGUAGCGGUGAAAUGCGUAGAUAUUAGGAGGAACACCAGUGGCGAAGGCGGCCUGCUGGACGAUGACUGACGUUGAGGCUCGAAAGCGUGGGGAGCAAACAGGAUUAGAUACCCCCGUA
Molecule: ribosomal RNA, 446 nt
Filed under: uncultured bacterium
Lineage: Bacteria
Description: partial 16S ribosomal RNA
Rfam family: Bacterial small subunit ribosomal RNA
Source: RNAcentral